CCUACGGGAGGCAGCAGUAGGGAAUAUUGCUCAAUGGGGGAAACCCUGAAGCAGCAACGCCGCGUGGAGGAUGAAGGUUUUAGGAUUGUAAACCACUGUCCCCAGGGACGAAAAUGACGGUACCUGGGGAGGAAGCUCCGGCUAACUACGUGCCAGCAGCCGCGGUAAUACGUAGGGAGCAAGCGUUGUCCGGAAUUACUGGGUGUAAAGGGAGCGUAGGCGGGGAUGCAAGUUGGGUGUCAAAACUACCGGCUCAACCGAUAGUCGCACUCAAAACUGCAGCUCUUGAGUGAAGUAGAGGCAGGCGGAAUUCCUAGUGUAGCGGUGAAAUGCGUAGAUAUUAGGAGGAACACCAGUGGCGAAGGCGGCCUGCUGGGCUUUUACUGACGCUGAGGCUCGAAAGUGUGGGGAGCAAACAGGAUUAGAUACCCGGGUAGUC
This 439-nucleotide ribosomal RNA is filed under the name uncultured bacterium. Its description in RNAcentral is "partial 16S ribosomal RNA". It matches the Rfam family "Bacterial small subunit ribosomal RNA", at positions 338 to 795 of the family's 1533-position model. The record is from RNAcentral.